UUUUAUGCGGUGUUUUGGGCACGAAGGGUUUUGAUCCCUUAAGAGGGGUGUCUUAACUGCCCCCAUAAGGC
This 71-nucleotide transfer RNA is filed under the name Ceraesignum maximum. Its description in RNAcentral is "tRNA-Gln". Lineage: Eukaryota; Metazoa; Mollusca; Gastropoda; Littorinimorpha; Vermetidae. The record is from RNAcentral.